GCAAAUAUAGUUUAACAAAACAUUAGAUUGUGAAUCUAAAAUUAGAGACUAAAACUUUCUUAUUUGCC
RNAcentral lists this transfer RNA (68 nucleotides) under Rhyncholestes raphanurus (Chilean shrew opossum). RNAcentral describes it as "transfer RNA-His". It matches the Rfam family "tRNA". Rfam says of the family: Transfer RNA (tRNA) molecules are approximately 80 nucleotides in length. The record is from RNAcentral. Lineage: Eukaryota; Metazoa; Chordata; Mammalia; Paucituberculata; Caenolestidae.